GACGAACGCUGGCGGCGUGCUUAACACAUGCAAGUCGAACGGAAAGGCCCUGCUUUUGUGGGGUGCUCGAGUGGCGAACGGGUGAGUAGCACGUGAGUAACCUGCCCUUGACUUUGGGAUAACUUCAGGAAACUGGGGCUAAUACCGGAUAGGAGCUCCUGCUGCAUGGUGGGGGUUGGAAAGUUUCGGCGGUUGGGGAUGGACUCGCGGCUUAUCAGCUUGUUGGUGGGGUAGUGGCUUACCAAGGCUUUGACGGGUAGCCGGCCUGAGAGGGUGACCGGCCACAUUGGGACUGAGAUACGGCCCAGACUCCUACGGGAGGCAGCAGUGGGGAAUAUGGCACAAUGGGCGGAAGCCUGAUGCAGCAACGCCGCGUGCGGGAUGACGGCCUUCGGGUUGUAAACCGCUUUCGCCUGUGACGAAGCGUGAGUGACGGUAAUGGGUAAAGAAGCACCGGCUAACUACGUG
This 468-nucleotide ribosomal RNA is filed under the name uncultured bacterium. RNAcentral's name for it is "partial 16S ribosomal RNA". It matches the Rfam family "Bacterial small subunit ribosomal RNA", at positions 28 to 507 of the family's 1533-position model. The record is from RNAcentral.